This 292-nucleotide ribosomal RNA is filed under the name uncultured bacterium. RNAcentral describes it as "partial 16S ribosomal RNA". It matches the Rfam family "Bacterial small subunit ribosomal RNA", at positions 505 to 796 of the family's 1533-position model. The record is from RNAcentral.
GUGCCAGCCGCCGCGGUAAUACAGAGGGGGCAAGCGUUGUUCGGAAUUACUGGGCGUAAAGGGCGCGUAGGUGGCCUUCUAAGUUGAACGUGAAAUCCCUGGGCUCAACCCAGGAACUGCGUCCAAGACUGGGAGGCUUGAAUCCGGGAGAGGGAUGCGGAAUUCCAGGUGUAGCGGUGAAAUGCGUAGAUAUCUGGAGGAACACCGGUGGCGAAGGCGGCAUCCUGGACCGGUAUUGACACUGAGGCGCGAAAGCCAGGGGAGCAAACGGGAUUAGAAACCCCCGUAGUCC